CACUGAGUCACGUGUCACAUCCUGCCCCUCUCCUAUAGGAGGCAGUGUGGGCGGGGGAGGGCGUGUCUGUGGCAGUCACGCCCCUCCUCCCGGUCAAGUUCAGAUAUUUGUGUUGAAAGUUUUUCCUGGGCGUGCGUCCUCACCUCAGGGAGUCGCAGCGCUCGCUGUGAACAUAAAGGGCAUCACCGGAGCAGGUCUGCAGAGCGGCGUGGUUCAUGGGCAACCAAGGUGCCUCGAAAAGAUGAAGUUGUGUCGCCUGGAACUGAGCCCUGACCCCUACUCGGCUUGGAAUGAGCAUGGAAGUGGCAGAGUUCUUAUCCCAGAUCAGCUCCCAGCUUUCCAGCCCUCACCCCAUCACGAAAGGUUUGCUGAAUUAUGCGGCUGCAACCACAAUCAGUGGAACAUCUCUCACCCCAGUAAAGAGUUGACCCAUUACCUGUCAUUCACCUGGAGGUUCUGGGGCCAGGCGUGCCUGAGUCUGCUUCUGUAACUACACCAGAGGUGGCUUCACACCCCGGGAGCUGAGUGGACAGGAUGAACCUCACGAGUUUUCCGGGUGUGAUAGCACACACCUUUAGUCCCAAGACUCUAGAGGCAGAGGCAAGUGGAUAUCUGAGAGUUUGAGGCAGCUUGGUCUAGAGAGUGAGUUCAAGGAUAGCCAGGGUUACACAGAGAAACCCUGUCUCAAAAAAAAAAAAAAAGUUUCUCACUACAAUAACAGACUACGGAAAAGGGUACAGGUUUUGCCCUUGGCAGAGGGAACAAGCUACGCAGAGACAGCCUGUAAGAGGCUGGAGAACUUGCAAGCUUGAGAUGCAGAGAGGAAGGUCCUGUGUGGAGAUAACACAGCAAACCCACAUGACCCCAUUAUAUUUAUAGCUACUUCUUAUUGAAUUUUUUACUUAUUUUAUGUGUGUGUGCAUGUAUAUAUGUGUGUGAGAUUUUCUGUGUAUGUGUGCAUGUGUAUAUGUGUGUGAUUGUGUGUGUAUGUGUGUGUUUGUGUGCGCAUGAAGGUAGCAGUCAGAUAACAGUGUUCUGCAGUUGGUUCUGUCCUAUCCCCAUGGGUCCCAAAGGCUAAACUCAACCUCAGGCUUAGAAAUGCUCCACUGAGCCAUCUUCAUGGCCCUGACAGUUCUUGCUAAUAUUUUUCAAUGCUGUUAGAUGUUGUAUCAAGUUUCAGACCCAUCUCAGCUUUCCUGAAAGUGAUUCGGGGGCUGGUGAGAUGGCUCAGUGGGUAAGAGCACCCGACUGCUCUUCCGAAGGUCAGGAGUUCAAAUCCCAGCAACCACAUGGUGGCUCACAACCAUCUGUAACGAGAUCUGACUCCCUCUUCUGGAGUGUCUGAAGACAGCUACAGUGUACUUACAUAUAAUAAAUAAAUAAAUCUUUAAAAAAAAAAAAAAGAA
RNAcentral lists this long non-coding RNA (1406 nucleotides) under Mus spicilegus (steppe mouse). RNAcentral describes it as "lncRNA (ENSMSIG00000009777.1)". The record is from RNAcentral. Lineage: Eukaryota; Metazoa; Chordata; Mammalia; Rodentia; Muridae.